RNAcentral lists this ribosomal RNA (460 nucleotides) under uncultured bacterium. RNAcentral's name for it is "partial 16S ribosomal RNA". It matches the Rfam family "Bacterial small subunit ribosomal RNA", at positions 338 to 795 of the family's 1533-position model. The record is from RNAcentral.
CCUACGGGUGGCAGCAGUGAGGAAUAUUGGUCAAUGGACGAGAGUCUGAACCAGCCAAGUAGCGUGAAGGAUGACUGCCCUAUGGGUUGUAAACUUCUUUUAUAUGGGAAUAAAAUGUUCCACGUGUGGGUUUUUGUAUGUACCAUAUGAAUAAGGAUCGGCUAACUCCGUGCCAGCAGCCGCGGUAAUACGGAGGAUCCGAGCGUUAUCCGGAUUUAUUGGGUUUAAAGGGAACGUAGGUGGAUUGUUAAGUCAGUUGUGAAAGUUUGCGGCUCAACCGUAAAAUUGCAGUUGAAACUGGCAGUCUUGAGUACAGUAGAGGUGAGCGGAAUUCGUGGUGUAGCGGUGAAAUGCUUAGAUAUCACGAAGAACUCCGAUUGCGAAGGCAGCUCACUGGACUGCAACUGACACUGAGGCUCGAAAGUGUGGGUAUCAAACAGGAUUAGAUACCCCAGUAGUC